GACGAACGCUGGCGGCGUGCUUAACACAUGCCAGUCGAACGGAAAGGCCUCUUUCGGGGGGUACUCGAGUGGCGAACGGGUGAGUAACACGUGAGUAACCUGCCCUUGACUUUGGGAUAACUUCAGGAAACUGGGGCUAAUACCGGAUAGGAGCUCCUGCUGCAUGGUGGGGGUUGGAAAGUUUCGGCGGUUGGGGAUGGACUCGCGGCUUAUCAGCUUGUUGGUGGGGUAGUGGCUUACCAAGGCCUUGCCGGGUAGCCGGCCUGGGAGGGUGACCGGCCACAUUGGGACUGAGAUACGGCCCAGACUCCUACGGGAGGCAGCAGUGGGGAAUAUUGCACAAUGGGUGGAAGCCUGAUGCAGCAACGCCGUGUGCGGGAUGACGGCCUUCGGGUUGUAAACCGCUUUCGCUCAUGACGAAGCUUUGUGUGACGGUAGUGGGUAAAGAAGCACCGGCUAACUACGUG
This 467-nucleotide ribosomal RNA is filed under the name uncultured bacterium. RNAcentral's name for it is "partial 16S ribosomal RNA". It matches the Rfam family "Bacterial small subunit ribosomal RNA", at positions 28 to 507 of the family's 1533-position model. The record is from RNAcentral.